CCCUAUUUGAGUCGCAAGGCCUUCCUUCAUUCCACCUAGCAGGCUGCUUGGAAAAGGGCAGAGACUCAUUACUUUGCACCAGGAGCUGGGAGUACCAUAUGGGGUCAACGGAGUCCCUGGCCUCAUGAAGUUUGAGAUCUGGUGGAGAAGGAAAACAUUCAUGGGAGAAUCAGACAAAAUUAAGUUUUCAAUUAGUAAAAAUCUUCUGAGAGGUA
Long non-coding RNA from Pan troglodytes (chimpanzee), 215 nucleotides. RefSeq lists it as uncharacterized. Lineage: Eukaryota; Metazoa; Chordata; Mammalia; Primates; Hominidae. The record is from RefSeq and is a predicted model, not a curated record. The transcript has 2 exons.